This 1064-nucleotide ribosomal RNA is filed under the name Microbacterium sp. ORG7-17. Its description in RNAcentral is "bacterial SSU rRNA". It matches the Rfam family "Bacterial small subunit ribosomal RNA", at positions 371 to 1444 of the family's 1533-position model. The record is from RNAcentral. Lineage: Bacteria; Bacillati; Actinomycetota; Actinomycetes; Micrococcales; Microbacteriaceae.
AUGGGCGGAAGCCUGAUGCAGCAACGCCGCGUGAGGGAUGACGGCCUUCGGGUUGUAAACCUCUUUUAGCAGGGAAGAAGCGUGAGUGACGGUACCUGCAGAAAAAGCGCCGGCUAACUACGUGCCAGCAGCCGCGGUAAUACGUAGGGCGCAAGCGUUAUCCGGAAUUAUUGGGCGUAAAGAGCUCGUAGGCGGUUUGUCGCGUCUGCUGUGAAAUCCCGAGGCUCAACCUCGGGCCUGCAGUGGGUACGGGCAGACUAGAGUGCGGUAGGGGAGAUUGGAAUUCCUGGUGUAGCGGUGGAAUGCGCAGAUAUCAGGAGGAACACCGAUGGCGAAGGCAGAUCUCUGGGCCGUAACUGACGCUGAGGAGCGAAAGGGUGGGGAGCAAACAGGCUUAGAUACCCUGGUAGUCCACCCCGUAAACGUUGGGAACUAGUUGUGGGGUCCUUUCCACGGAUUCCGUGACGCAGCUAACGCAUUAAGUUCCCCGCCUGGGGAGUACGGCCGCAAGGCUAAAACUCAAAGGAAUUGACGGGGACCCGCACAAGCGGCGGAGCAUGCGGAUUAAUUCGAUGCAACGCGAAGAACCUUACCAAGGCUUGACAUACACCAGAACGGGCCAGAAAUGGUCAACUCUUUGGACACUGGUGAACAGGUGGUGCAUGGUUGUCGUCAGCUCGUGUCGUGAGAUGUUGGGUUAAGUCCCGCAACGAGCGCAACCCUCGUUCUAUGUUGCCAGCACGUAAUGGUGGGAACUCAUGGGAUACUGCCGGGGUCAACUCGGAGGAAGGUGGGGAUGACGUCAAAUCAUCAUGCCCCUUAUGUCUUGGGCUUCACGCAUGCUACAAUGGCCGGUACAAAGGGCUGCAAUACCGUGAGGUGGAGCGAAUCCCAAAAAGCCGGUCCCAGUUCGGAUUGAGGUCUGCAACUCGACCUCAUGAAGUCGGAGUCGCUAGUAAUCGCAGAUCAGCAACGCUGCGGUGAAUACGUUCCCGGGUCUUGUACACACCGCCCGUCAAGUCAUGAAAGUCGGUAACACCUGAAGCCGGUGGCCUAACCCUUGU